RNAcentral lists this transfer RNA (73 nucleotides) under Bos taurus (domestic cattle). It matches the Rfam family "tRNA". From Rfam's summary of the family: Transfer RNA (tRNA) molecules are approximately 80 nucleotides in length. RNAcentral also lists the same sequence under 5 other names. The record is from Rfam by way of RNAcentral. Lineage: Eukaryota; Metazoa; Chordata; Mammalia; Artiodactyla; Bovidae.
UCCCUCGUGAUCCAGUGGCUAAGACUCUGCACUCCCAAUGCAAGGGGCCCAGGUUCAAUCCCUGGUCAGGGAA